CCUACGGGAGGCAGCAGUGAGGAAUAUUGGACAAUGGAGGCAACUCUGAUCCAGCCAUGCCGCGUGUAGGAAGACUGCCCUAUGGGUUGUAAACUACUUUUAUAUGGGAAGAAUAAGAUCUACGUGUAGAUUGAUGACGGUACCAUAAGAAUAAGCACCGGCUAACUCCGUGCCAGCAGCCGCGGUAAUA
This 190-nucleotide ribosomal RNA is filed under the name uncultured bacterium. RNAcentral describes it as "partial small subunit ribosomal RNA". It matches the Rfam family "Bacterial small subunit ribosomal RNA", at positions 338 to 525 of the family's 1533-position model. The record is from RNAcentral.